UAGGCCCAAGAAAGAGGACAUCAAGCCAGAAACAGCCACAGCCUAUCUUUCCCAAUGCCUUUGGUUGGGGCGACCACGGAGAUAAAACAAACCCCCGCGUGGACCGAGAGACCUCUCUUAGAACUAAGAGCCACCCCUCCAAGCACCAGAACAUCUGACCACCAAUGACCCGGCCCUGCCGACAAACGAACCGAGUUACCCCAGGGAUAACAGCGCAAUCCCCUUCCAGAGCCCCUAUCGACAAGGGGGUUUACGACCUCGAUGUUGGAUCAGGAUGUCCUAAUGGUGCAGCCGCUAUUAAG
This 302-nucleotide ribosomal RNA is filed under the name Lampris megalopsis (bigeye Pacific opah). Its description in RNAcentral is "partial large subunit ribosomal RNA". The stretch from base 206 to 302 matches the Rfam family "Bacterial large subunit ribosomal RNA", at positions 2473 to 2569 of the family's 2925-position model. Lineage: Eukaryota; Metazoa; Chordata; Actinopteri; Lampriformes; Lampridae. The record is from RNAcentral.